RNAcentral lists this transfer RNA (72 nucleotides) under Pseudomonadota bacterium. RNAcentral describes it as "tRNA-Val". It matches the Rfam family "tRNA". Rfam says of the family: Transfer RNA (tRNA) molecules are approximately 80 nucleotides in length. The record is from RNAcentral. RNAcentral also lists the same sequence under 1 other name. Lineage: Bacteria; Pseudomonadati; Pseudomonadota.
GGGCGCAUAGCUCAGUGGGAGAGCACCUGCCUUACAAGCAGGGGGUCGUAGGUUCAAAUCCUGCUGCGCCCA